RNAcentral lists this ribosomal RNA (253 nucleotides) under uncultured bacterium. RNAcentral describes it as "partial 16S ribosomal RNA". It matches the Rfam family "Bacterial small subunit ribosomal RNA", at positions 524 to 776 of the family's 1533-position model. The record is from RNAcentral.
UACGUAGGUGACAAGCGUUGUCCGGAUUUACUGGGCGUAAAGAGCGCGCAGGCGGUCGUUCAAGUCGAGUGUGAAAGCCCCCGGCUCAACUGGGGAGGGUCAUUCGAUACUGAUCGACUCGAAGGCAGGAGAGGGAAGUGGAAUUCCCGGUGUAGUGGUGAAAUUCGUAGAUAUUCGCAAGAACACCAGUGGCGAAGGCGGCUCACUGGCCCGAUACUGACGCUGAGGCACGAAAGCGUGGGGAGCAAACAGG